AUGAACGCUGGCGGCGUGCUUAACACAUGCAAGUCGCACGGGAAACCUUUUAUUGAAGCUUCGGCAGAUUUAGCUGGUUUCUAGUGGCGGACGGGUGAGUAACGCGUGGGUAACCUGCCCUAUACAGGGGGAUAACAACCAGAAAUGGUUGCUAAUACCGCAUAAGCGCACAGGGCCGCAUGGUCCGGUGUGAAAAACUCCGGUGGUAUAGGAUGGACCCGCGUUGGAUUAGCCAGUUGGCAGGGUAACGGCCUACCAAAGCGACGAUCCAUAGCCGGCCUGAGAGGGUGAACGGCCACAUUGGGACUGAGACACGGCCCAGACUCCUACGGGAGGCAGCAGUGGGGAAUAUUGCACAAUGGGGGAAACCCUGAUGCAGCGACGCCGCGUGAAGGAAGAAGUAUCUCGGUAUGUAAACUUCUAUCAGCAGGGAAGAUAGUGACGGUACCUGACUAAGAAGCCCCGGCUAACUACGUG
This 477-nucleotide ribosomal RNA is filed under the name uncultured bacterium. Its description in RNAcentral is "partial 16S ribosomal RNA". It matches the Rfam family "Bacterial small subunit ribosomal RNA", at positions 29 to 507 of the family's 1533-position model. The record is from RNAcentral.